This is a long non-coding RNA of Portunus trituberculatus (swimming crab), 3438 nucleotides long. RefSeq lists it as uncharacterized. The transcript is spliced from 2 exons. NCBI's taxonomy places the organism in Eukaryota, Metazoa, Arthropoda, Malacostraca, Decapoda, Portunidae. The record is from RefSeq and is a predicted model, not a curated record.
UACACGUAGGUAGGGAAAUAUUACAAAAAUAAAAUAGUAUCCUAUCUGCCUUAUACGUAGCUGCAACUGAUUCAUACUAUGGGCCACAAACAUAAACAUUCCCUUCCCCCUUCCCUGAAGGAACCACAUGACGGGACCGCAGAGUCAAGUGGUAUUAAACCGUGCGUUCCCUUCCCCCUUCGUGCGGACCACUCGCGGAAAGGUUGGUAUGUCGGAAGGGGUGGAGUGCGCUUCUUCAUCUUCAUUUAUGUUGGUUUGUUUACAUUUGUACAUGUGCCAACCCGCGAAAGAAGAAGAGAAGUGAAGUUUAUUCUUCCGAUUAUUGGACCAGAAAUGGAAGACCUAUCAGCAUAAGUUCUCGGAGACAAGACAGCAUUUACUUGCUCUCCAAGUGAAACAUAUGGAAGCAAGACUGGAAGAAGCAGAAGAAAGGAAGGAAGAGGCUAGGAUUAGGACAUGUAUAGCAAAAGUAGAACUUGAACAGUUACAAGAAAGGAAGGAAGAGGCUAAAAUUAGAACAGAAAUAGCAAAGAAAGAACUUGAAAAGCUAAACAAUAGUUAAGCCAGAUCCCUUGGAAUACGAUAUUGGGUAAUUUAAGGAAUGAAUCAAACUAUGAAUUACAUUUUGUUUUAAUUAACAAUGAAGAUAAAGGUUUUACAAGAACAUACAUACACACUGAACAGCAGCUAAAUAAAUUUGGCAGUCCAUGAGGACCAUGAAGCGUUGCUGUACUCAAGCCCAAGUGCAGACUGCAGUGUUGCACCCUAAAUACAUACAACAAUAAUGAUGGUUUCACAGAAGUGGGCUCACCUGGUUCAAUAAUGCGAAGAAAAACACUGAGGAGAAUCGGCGUCAGCGAGUGGGGAAGGGGGAAGAGGCGGGCUGCGCUGCUCCUUCGCCGCUCCCCUUCCCCCGCGUGGCAAAGGACUCUCUCGCGGCCCAAAAUGCUCUAUGUUUACAGUUUGUGUGACGAAGGAUCCUCAUGCCCGGGGAAGGGGGAAGGGAAUGUUUAUGUUUGUGGCAGCUUAUCUCAUGAUUUCAUUCAUCACACACUGUCAUAUACUACUCUGUCAUGUUGUCAUGUUUCCACAACAUUUCCUGUUUGUAAAGGCAAGCAAGUAUAAUUAAUUGGUUAACUCACAUUGCAUCUUGUAUACUUGUCACACCAGAAGUGUUAGUUUGGAUCAAGGAAACCAGAUCAGCUCUAUCAGCAAGUACACUGGUGAUAUAACGGCGUUGUAUUCUUCAUUUUGGGCAAUGGAUUUGUGUGUGAUAUCCACAGCCUAUUAUUCCUUGAUAAUUAUUAUCAACAAAAUAAAGCCAGAAAUUGUUUAAAGGGUUACUCAGACAUUACAUUGGCAAAUGAGUUUUUGACUUUCUUUCACAAUAAGAUUCAAGCAAUAGUUGACGGUUUUCAUGGUACAUCCCUGCAACUUUACUCUGAGUACUUGCCUGACUUUCCGUUUUGUGGUUUUUCAGGUUUUAUGCCCAUUACCUCUAAUGAACUUGACUUGAUUUUCAGCAGAGUUAAGAAGACUUACUGUAACAGUGACCCUAUGCUAAUCUCGGACCUGAUGCAGGAUAGAGAUUUUUCAAUUAUAGCAAAUGUUAUAUUAAAAAUUGUUAAUCUGAGUAUUACAGAAUGUGUUUUCCCAUCAAGUGAAAAGGUAGCCAUUGUUAAGCCAACUUUAAAGGGGAAUGUAAACCACCAAGAGCUUAGUUCCUACAGACCUGUUUCUAACUUAUCAUUUUUAUCAAAAAUCCUUGAAAAUGUAAUAUUAGAUCAAUUAAUGGAAUACUUGACAAAUGUUAAUGUUUUGCCAGAUAAUCAGUCUGCAUACAGACAGUUAUACUCAACUGAGACUGCACCCUGUCAUGUUGUAAAUUCUUUGUUGGUAUGUGUGGAUGAAGGGCACUGUGGUGUCCUAGUCUUGUUGGAUCUGAGUGCUGCAUUUGAUACUGUUGUGCAUGAGUUGUUACUUGAGGAUUUACAUGCUGUUGGAGUGACUGAUGAUGCUCUGCAAUACUUGAGAAGCUAUUUAGAGGAUAGGAAGUAUUGUGUACAGGUUGGUAAUGUUUUAUCUGAGACAAGGCCAUUACGGAGAGGAGUGCCUCAAGGUAGUGUGCUUGGUCCAGUGUUAUGUCCAUUAAUAAUGUGCAGGAUACUGAGAGUAAACUUUCUAGGAUUAUGUUUGAUGUUAAGAUAUGGAUGGAUGGAAAACAGCUGAAAUUUAAUGAUGACAAAACGGAAUGUUUGAUAGUUGGUAAAAAGUGUGAUAUGAGGAGGUUGAAUGACAUACAAGGUUUUAAUUUUAAUGGGAGGAAUGUAGUGAUUUCUGAUAAAGUGAAAAAUUUGGGUGUUGUUAUGGAUAAAUACUUAAAUUUUAAUGAUCAUAUUAAUGAUGUAACAAGAAUUGCUAGGUACCAUCUCCAUAACAUUGCAUUUAUAAGAAAAUACCUUGAUGAUAAUUAUGUCAAAAUGUUAAUUCAUAACUAUGUCAUUAGUAGAAUUGACUACUGUAAUUCAUUAUACUUAAAUUUACCAAAUUACCAAUUGAAAAAGUUACAAGUGAUCAUGAAUAAAGCAGCUAGAUUAAUUAAAAGAGUACCACUGUAUGAGAGAAUCACACCAACUCUUAUUGAACUACACUGGUUGCCUAUCAAGGCUAGAAUUGUAUUCAAAAUUUGUGUCCUGACUUAUCAAGCUGUUAAAACUGGUAAACCACAGUAUUUGAGUGACCUACUGUAAAAAUUGGAGAAUAAUGCCAAUGUAGUUGUGAGACAUGCACAUGAUGUAAACAGACUGUUUGAACCAAGAUGUAAUUCUGGGAUUGGUGCAAGAACAUUUCAGUACAGUGCUCCAAGGUUAUACAAUGCACUACCUAAUGAUAUAAAGUGCAGUGAGAAUGUUGUAGUUUUUAAGAAAAGGUUAAAAACAUUUAUAUUCAGAGAAUGUUAUGACGUGGAGGAGAUGUGCAUCACUGAACGUUAUGCAUUGUAAUGGGCGAUGAUGAUUUAUAUGGUUAUUGUGUUUACUUUUCAUAUGUUCAAUUUCAUUUCUUUAGCCACUUAUAUCUUCAUUUCUUAUUUGGAUAAAUGAAUCUGAUUUGUAUAUUUUUUAUAUUAUGUUUUUCAUAUGUCUAUGUCUAUACAUUUAUUUACAUAUCUCAUGCAGUGAUGGAUGGACUUGUUAUCUUUUUUGUUAAGAAGAGGAUUUCUCUGUGAUUAUUAUUAUAAGGUGCAAUGUAGUUUUUAAGCCCUUAGGUUAGGUUAGGUUAAGUUCUAUUUAUUAGUAUAUAUUUUUUUAUUUUCAUUUGUAUGCAUUUAGGACAACUAUGUAUAUAUAAUUUUGUAUGAGGCCCUGUAGAGCACCAUUUACUGGUGGAAUAGAGCCUAGAAAACAAAACAAAACAAUAAACAAUAAUAAUUUUGGCUAA